RNAcentral lists this microRNA precursor (119 nucleotides) under Mustela putorius furo (domestic ferret). RNAcentral's name for it is "miRNA (ENSMPUG00000023400.1)". Lineage: Eukaryota; Metazoa; Chordata; Mammalia; Carnivora; Mustelidae. The record is from RNAcentral.
AGUUAAAUUUGAAUUUUAGCUAAGCAAUGAAUAAUGUUUAAGUAUGUCCCAUGUAAUACUUGGGACAUACUUAUACUAAAAAAUUAUUUAUUGUUUAUCUGAAAUGUAAAUUUAAUAGG